GCCCGAUGAUCAUCGGUGGUCUGCGUGUGCGGGCUUCAAACCCGUAGCUGAUGAGAGUCAGAGUGGUUCGAUUCCACCUUCUGGGGUG
This is a non-coding RNA of Trichonephila clavipes, 88 nucleotides long. NCBI's taxonomy places the organism in Eukaryota, Metazoa, Arthropoda, Arachnida, Araneae, Nephilidae. The record is from the annotation of a GenBank genome assembly.